AUUGAACGCUGGCGGCGUGGCUAAAGCAUGCAAGUCGAACGGGUCCGCAAGGACCAGUGGCGGAAGGGUCAGUAACACGAUCGAACGUGCCCCGAGGUGGGGGAUAGCGGCGGGAAACUGCCGGUAAUACCCCAUGAUCUCUCCGGAGCAAAGGUUUACCGCCUUGGGAUCGGCGAUCGUCCUAUCAGCUAGUUGGCGGGGUAACGGCCCACCAAGGCUAUGACGGGUAGCAGGUGUGAGAGCACGACCUGCGACAUCGGGACUGAGACACUGCCCGGACUCCUACGGGAGGCUGCAGCGACGAGUCUUCCGCAAUGGGGGCAACCCCGACGGAGCGACGCCGCGUGUGGGAUGAAGCGCCUACGGCGUGUAAACCACUGUCAGGGGACAGAACCAAUGAUCGUCCCCAGAGGAAGAGACGGCUAACCCUGUGCCAGCAGCCGCGGUAAGACAGGGGGUCUCGAGCGUUAAUCGGAAUCACUGGGCUUAGAGGGUACGUAGGCGGACCGACACGCCG
This 517-nucleotide ribosomal RNA is filed under the name uncultured bacterium. RNAcentral describes it as "bacterial SSU rRNA". It matches the Rfam family "Bacterial small subunit ribosomal RNA", at positions 28 to 590 of the family's 1533-position model. The record is from RNAcentral.